UUGCUCAUGCCCCUUCCUGUCCGAGGCUGCUGCUGCUGCUGCUUGCUGCAGGCUUGAUCUCAGGAGCUUCUGUGGAGAUGGCCAGGCCCCUUUGUGCCUCUGGCUACUGCUAGCUACUGGAUUGUUCUUAGAGCUUUUGGGGCCUGCUACCCAGCC
Long non-coding RNA from Gavialis gangeticus (Gharial), 156 nucleotides. RefSeq lists it as uncharacterized. The transcript is spliced from 3 exons. Lineage: Eukaryota; Metazoa; Chordata; Crocodylia; Gavialidae. The record is from RefSeq and is a predicted model, not a curated record.